Molecule: long non-coding RNA, 491 nt
Filed under: Fukomys damarensis (Damara mole-rat)
Lineage: Eukaryota; Metazoa; Chordata; Mammalia; Rodentia; Bathyergidae
Description: lncRNA (ENSFDAG00000028800.1)
Source: RNAcentral
CAAGCCAGUCCAAGUUUGCAAACGUGGCCUUAAGAAGUGGGACGUUUAUUGAAGUUAUCUUGAUACCUCCCCUGCCUUGGCAGCCUAGGCCUUCUGAUAACACUGGGGUUCCCAUGGGAACCUCUGAAUUCUUUCUUGAAAGAAAAACACCCGCUCCAUGCUCUGCAGGAGCUAUGAUCUGGUGUUUCUGGACACAUAACAAGCACACUUGGGUUCAAAUUCAGGUUCAGGAUUCAGUGCGGACUCUCAGCCAGAGAAGGUCUUGGAAACAUUGCAAGUGCUAUAACUUAAGGGAGAAGAUCACAAGCCACUUUUUGUCCCAAAUAUCAACUCACUGGCCUCAUUGUAUACCUUACCUCACAUGCCAACACCGAAGUAUGCCAGGAAGCCUCCUGCAAGUGGGGAUACACAUGGGUAUGAAAAAGAAAUGCAGUGGCAGUUGCUGCGGAAGGCUAGCCAGUGAAAAGACAGGCUUAUAAAACAACGAAGGU